RNAcentral lists this ribosomal RNA (464 nucleotides) under uncultured bacterium. RNAcentral describes it as "partial 16S ribosomal RNA". It matches the Rfam family "Bacterial small subunit ribosomal RNA", at positions 339 to 795 of the family's 1533-position model. The record is from RNAcentral.
CUACGGGGGGCACCAGUGGGGAAUAUUGCACAAUGGGCGCAAGCCUGAUGCAGCCAUGCCGCGUGUAUGAAGAAGGCCUUCGGGUUGUAAAGUACUUUCAGCGGGGAGGAAGGGAGUAAAGUUAAUACCUUUGCUCAUUGACGUUACCCGCAGAAGAAGCACCGGCUAACUCCGUGCCAGCAGCCGCGGUAAUACGGAGGGUGCAAGCGGUAAUCGGAAUUACUGGGCGUAAAGCGCACGCAGGCGGUUUGUUAAGUCAGAUGUGAAAUCCCCGGGCUCAACCGGGGAACUGCAUCUGAUACUGGCAAGCUUGAGUCUCGUAGAGGGGGGUAGAAUUCCAGGUGUAGCGGUGAGAUGCGUAGAGAUCUGGAGGAAUACCGGUGGCGAAGGCGGCCCCCUGGACGAAGACUGACGCUCAGGUGCGAAAGCGUGGGGAGCAAACAGGAUUAGAUACCCGGGUAGUC